This 16406-nucleotide long non-coding RNA is filed under the name Vitis vinifera (wine grape). RNAcentral describes it as "long non-coding RNA (VVIN_LNC000757)". The record is from RNAcentral. Lineage: Eukaryota; Viridiplantae; Streptophyta; Magnoliopsida; Vitales; Vitaceae.
GACGCACCGAGUUGCGCCACACAACCUGAGUAUAGUGCCCACACUCUCCACCAACGCAUGAGUUGGAGUUGUAGUCAUAAUAAGGCUUCUCCCCCACCCACAAGUUCACCGCAUCGGUGCCUGUCAAUGAACCGCUGCCUUUGGCCAGGUUCUCACCGUAAGGCCCACCUGAGUGCACUAGAUUGCAGUCGCUAAUCCUCUGGUUAGCAUAGUUCUGGGCGUAGGCAGCUACAGUGUCGUUCCAUGUUAUAGACCCAACGCCAACUUGGGCCCGCGCUGCAUUGUGAGCAUCGACGUAGUCCUGUGGAGAGUUCUGGGCACAGCAGGUGUGAGCUAGGGCUAACCCCAUGAGACCAACAAGGAGCGCCAUUGAAAUCUUACACAACCCCAUCUUUUAGUUUCUUUGAUGACAAGUGAGGGCUGGGUUGAAGGGUAUUUAUAGGGGAAAUAGAAGCAUCAUAAUCUCCAAGUCUUGCUCCCCCUAACUUCCCCCUUUGAUACAGUCUGUGUGGCGGCCUUCACACGUAAAGAUCAACAACUGAUAAAAUAGUUGGCACUAAGAUCAAAAUGACUUCCAUGCAUGUUCAAUUUUUUCCUAAGAAGCAAUCAACAAUACAUGAAAACGACUUCCAUGCAUGUUCUUUCUUUUAUUCAAAAUAAAACAGCUCUUUGAAAUCACAGUUUUGCAGUUCAAAAAAUCGGUUUUUAUUAAUAUUUAUUUUUAAAAAUUUACCCUAAACGCUUCAAUUAGAAAAUGCGAGCUUUAUAAAAUUCAAAAGACAAAAACACCUUAAAAUCCAUAUUUUUCUAAAUGGGAUUUGAGAGUAGUUGUAAAAAUAUAAAAAAAUUUAAAAUUACAUCAGCCCCUAUUUUUAUACAAAUAAGCAAUUUUAAAGUGCUUUUUUUUUUCUUUUCUUUUGUUUGAAAAUGUCAACUUAAUUAGUCUAUUUUAUAUAUAUAAACCUUUGAUCACGGACGAAUUUACACGUGCUUCUUCAAAUUCUGCAAAUACGUACAAAGUAUCCUAACUUAAACCUCUGAUGAAGGACGAGCUUACAUGUGCUUCUUCAACUUCUGCAAAUACAUACAAAUUAUCCUAACCGGUUUGCUUACUUGACUGAACUAAGUGUUUGGUCUUUUAAUGUUAGAUUUCGAGAUUUCGUGGAAAAGUGGUUAAGACAGAGUUUUGGGACGGUCAUCAAAGUUGAAUAAUUUAUCAUGUGACACAUUAUUUGAGCAAACAAGUUGAUAGCGUAUGUGAUUUUUUAUGCUCGUUGUCAACCUCAAAUCCAAAAUAAAUAUAUGACUUUGAAAUGGUAAAAUAUUCAGUAUGAUUUUCUUCUUUACCCUUAUGCUAGGCUAUUAUCGUGGGUUGAUGGCGCGAGGUACUAGGGUCAUUGUAAUUUCCUGAUGUACUCGCCUCCUCAACUGAAAAUGAUGCUUCCUUCCUUCGCCCUACAAAAGAUGUCUGGACAGGGGGUCCGGACACACUCUCUAAAGCCUUUGUUAGUUUGAUAAUCCAGCAAAUUGAUAUUCUUGGGCCCUUUUCUUUUAGGAAUGCUUAACCUUUUUUUUUUUUCGACUGGGUCGUCGGGGGCCUUUUAUAGUGCUUGGAGCCUCGUCACUUCGAAGGUGUGAAGACUCUUUGACUUUUGCGAUCAUGAUGGUAUUCAGAGGGUGACAGAGCCAUCAUUAUCCUGCAGGCGGCUGACAGAGAUCGUUGGGGGGAUGAUUUGUCAUCACCCUUGUCUUUUCACUCUGUAGGCGGUGUAGGGCAGGUCGUGGCAGGUCGCCUGAAGAGACCCAAGAAGGUCCAUCGAGUAUGCUUUUGGCGAAAUGAGUAAUGAUUGCCCACAAAAUACGGCCAGGAAUUUUGUUUGGGACGCCAGCUAUUAGGUCCGGACUGGACAUCCACAUAGGGGGUGGGGAGGCCACAUGUCAGUCCAUGUGAUCGUCCGGACAGGGGGUGAGACAUGCCAGGUGUCCAAUGGAGGAGUGCCUUGUGAGGCCGUCACGUGUACGCUUAGGCAGUCCCUACAGGUAUCACUAGUGGUUUCGACUAAUGGUAGCAAAAGAAGAACAAAGGUACUUGAUAGGAUGCUUAUUCCAACAAGUUAAUAUAUAUAUAUAUUUUAAUCAAAUGAACGUUAUUAGAAACAUUUUCAAAACUUUAAUUUAUUUAUUUUUUUAUUUUUUAUUUUUAAAUUUACAUUUAAACAAUAUUGGAUUCUCUAUGAAAGGGUUUAAAAGUACAUUUGAAAGUGAUUUUGAUAAGUGUUUUUAGUCUUUCUAAUACUUAAAAAAUAAAAAAUUUCAAGUGUUAGAAAAACUAAAAGCACUUUCUAGAAUCAUUGCUAAAUGCACUCUAAAUACAAUUAAAAGUGUUUUUACAAGAAUUACUCCAAAUCACAUUAAUAAAAUUGUGAUGAUUUUUGGUGAAAAUUUAUAUGAUGUUAGAUGUAAUUCUUUUUUCAUCUAAGGUUCUAGAUAUUAUACUGUUUGAUUGGAUAAGAUAUGACAAAAAGAUAUCAUGAUUUCUAAUGAGAUAUGACUUUGGAUAUUUUAUCAAAUGAAAAUGGUAUCUUAAGACAUUAUAUUAAAUAAGAUUUGUUAUGAUCAUAUUUAAUUUAUAAAAUAAAUAAAUGGAAUGUAUAAUAUAUUGCAUUUUAAUGUUCAAUAUUUUUUCUAAAAUAAAAAUUAUAUUGAUUCCUAAUGUUUGUUUUUAAAUAAAUAUGAGAUUGUUGUAAAAUAAAAAAAUGAGAAGAAAAAAAGAGGAUGGAAUAAAUAUGAAUACUCAGAGAAAAAUAGAAUAUUAUUUCAUUAGCAAGUCUCCUCAUUUUAUAGAGAGUUAGGAAGAGAUUUGUAUCAAUAUGGAUAAUCAUCCAUAAGUUGUCACAAUCAGAAAAAUUCUCAUAUUUUAUAACACUCCUCUGUAGAUGAUCAUAAGAAUAAUAUACCUCCUUAAACCUUCCUAGAAAAAAUCUUAUGAGAAAAACCUUUGUAAAGUAAAAAAAGUACAAAAUUCUUUAGAAUUAUUACGAUUGCCUUAUUAAAAACCUUGCCAAGAAAACCUAGUGAGAUAAAAUCUGGAUGAAGGGAAAAAACAUAUAAUGUAGUGAUAUCCUUAUCAAUUUGUUUCCACUCAUGUUGGUAUGAUUAUAUUUUCUCUUGUAACUCAAUAUCGAGAUCUUUGAGUUGGCGUAUUUCAAUGUUAUAUAUGAGUUUCUUGAGUGUUGCAGUUGACAAUGCGUUUGUGAAUAGGUCUACUAAAUUGUCAUUAGAUCUUACUCAUUGAACAAUCAUUUCACCACUCUUCUAGAGCUUAGAAGUGUAAAUGAAUUUGAGUGUUAUAAACUUAGUUCCAUCACCUUGAAUGCAUCAUUCUUUAAUUUGUGCAAUGCAUGCAAUAUUAAUAUCAUGUAACAUUGUUGAAUUGUCUUUAAUGGAAGAUAGUCCGUAUGAUUCUUGAGUAUAUUGGAUUACAAAUCUCAACCACACACUUCUUGACUUUCUUCAUGGAUUGCACGUAUUUCUAAAUGAUUUGAAUAACAACUAUUAUAAGUUUUAUUGAUCACCAUGAUAUUGCAGUAUUACCAUAGGUAAACAAAUAUCCUAUUUGAGACCUUGCCUUGUAAGGCAAUCACCUUGGGGGAUGGGAGGGAUGAAGAGGAUGAUGGUCACUUUUUGAAAAAAAUUAAACUAUAUGAAAGCAAGUGACAAGUAUAUCCAAUUAAAUAAUAAAUACAAUGAAAAGUAAUUGCAUAUAAAGUAAAAAGAUAAGGAAAAGAGAUUGCAAACUUAAGAGUUUUAUAGUGGUUUGGAGUAACUCGACCUAUGUCCGCUCUCCUUAAUGUCAUGGACUUAGUCUUUUUCUAAGCUCGUGCGGCACUUAGACAAGUCAAGACACUUGAUCUUGCUAAGUCAGCCUUACUCCCAAUGCUUAGCUUUCUAGGCUAAGAUGCCUACGACUCGGAAGCUUUAAAAGGUGUAGUAGGCGAUGCUUAAAGAAUGAAAGCUUUUGUUACUCAAAGGAAGCUUUACAAGUGCUUUGGGAACUCACUUGCUUGGUUGGUUAGGUUCUUGGGUGGUGCCUUGGCCAAAUGAGGGCCUCACCUAUUUACAGGCAUCAGUGAAACUCUCUGGAACCUUGGAGGGUUCCUUACAACUUAAGAAUAAUCUAGAACUUCCUACACAAUUCUAUGUACAAACCUAUGUAUAAGAAUAUACAAGAGAUUCCUAGAAUUCUCUAGAAAGCCUUAGACUCCUCUCAUACCUUCCACCAUAGUGUAGAGAUGUGUGGACAUCUCUAGGCGUCUCUAGAACCUUCCAUACUCUUCUCACCAAUGGCUUAGUGUAGAUGGCUCCAGGAGUCUCCAAAAGCUUUCUGUCCUCUAUAUAACCCCUAUGGGGAGGGUCAUUUGAAACAUCUUAUGACACUCCCCCCCACCUAUGCCGUCGACGUCCUCAUUGUUGCCACUUCUUGAAACUUCUCGAUGAGUUUCCAGAACCUUCUAAAGGAAUCCGCAUGUUCCCAGCUUACCUGCCUCUUAGGUAGUCCUUUCCGUAGGACUAGAUACUCUAUCACAAGAGAGACCCCUUGUCUCCUGGUAACCCAUUGAACCAAGAUAUUUUUCACCUCCUUUUCCCGUGAGACCUCGGAUGGAUGCAGACCCUUUCACUUUUGAUGCUUGGAGUGCUGCUUCCUCUUACCCAUCGAAUUCACCUUUCCCUUGUUGACCUUGUCCAUGUGUGUGUGAGCUACCUCAACUCGCUCUCCUUUUGCCUCAUUUACUUGCACCCCUGAUAGUAAGGAGAUCUUAGGUGUACUAGGCUUUGGGUUGACUUAGAGGGCACCUAGUAGCUGCACCAAGCCCAUAUGUGCUUCGUGUUCCUACUCCCUCUCCUCGAUCAUACCAUUGAACGCCUUCUUCUUUGGAUAAUCCCAUGCCCAAUGUGGACCAUCACAUAGGAAGCAUUUGAUUUUAGGUGUAAACUCUUUCCUUUCCUCCUUACCCCUUCCUUCCUGGACGUUAAGUGUCUUGCUUGAUCCCAUUCUAGGAGCAUUGUGGUCCCUUGAAACCUCAUCUCUCCCACCUAUGGCGUGGCUAUCCUCCAAAGACUCAACCUUGAAGGAGUCUCCCCUCUUGUAAUCCGUUAAAGACUCUGCUAUUGCCAUAGCAAUGGCUAAGUCUUGAACGCCUUGGCGCCUUAAUUCCUACUCAGCCCACCCUUGCAGGUUAUCCAUGAAGUUGAAUAGCAACUCCUCCUUAGUCAUGUUAGGAAUCUUAAGCAUGAGCGAAGAGAAUUCCUUGACAUAGUCGCGUAUUGAGCCUGUGUACUUAAGACACCUCAUGUUUUUCCUAGCUAGGUAAGCCACAUCUUCGGGGUAGAACUGCCUCUUGAAGUUCUCCCACGUCUCUAUGGUACAAAUGCCUUUCUCCAUAUUGGCGAACCUCCGACGCCACCAUAGAGUAAUUAUGUGAGUAAGGUAGAGGGUUGCAGUCCUUACCUUAACUGCCUCAUUAGUCAAUGCGAUAGCCUCAAAGUAUCGCUCCAUAUGCCAUAAGAAGUUGUCCAACUCCUUGGCAUCCCGUUUGCCACUAAACCCUUAUGGCUUCGACACCUCCAUCCUAAAUGCCUCUUGUGUGGCCAUCACUCGUGCCAACAUAGCAGCCUUGUAGAUGGCUAACUCCUACCUAACCUCCUGGUCUGGAGACUCAAUUCGAGUGGCCAAGGCCUCUAUCCUUGACUCCAUGCUAGCAAGCAUGCUCAAGACCUUUUCUUGGAAGGACACAAACUCCUCAUGUGACACUGGCUGAACCUAUGAGACUAGCACCCCCUCACGAAGGUCUUGGAUCUGCUCCCUUAAAUCCUCUAAGCCCUUCUCCAUGCCUUGCUCGAUCAAGUCCAACCUCUCCUGAGUGUCUGCCAUGGCUAGCUCUAUCUUAGCUAACCUUACCUCCAUGUUGCCAACAACAUAACGAGAUUUAUCCUUCUUGCCCCUGCCACGUGCAUCAGGUUCGAUCUCCCUCCCAUGGGUUUGCUCACUAGUCUCAUCCAAGUUGGAGCCUGACAUGCUUCAUUUACUAUGCCCGCUUUGUAGCAGCGCUUUGAUAUCACUUGUCACGGACUUAGUCUUUUCCUAAGCUUGUGCAAUACUUAGACAAGUCAAGACACUUGAUCGUGCUAAGUCAACUCUCAAUUCUUAGCUUUCUAGGCUAAGAUGCUCAUGAAUCGAAAGCUUUACAAGUGCUUUGGGAACUCACUUGUUUGGUUGGUUAGGUUCUUGGGUGGUGCCUUGGCCAAAUGAGGGCCUCACCUAUUUAUAGGCACCAAUGGAACUCUCUAAAACCUUGGAGAGUUCCUUACAACUCAAGAAUAAUCUAGAACCUCCUACACAAUUCUAUGUACAAACCUAUGUACAAGAAUAUACAAGAGAUUCCUAGUAUUCUCUAGAAAGCCUUGGACUCUUCUCAUGCCUUCCACCAUAGUGUAGAGAUAUGUGGACAUCUCUAGGCGUUUCUAGAACCUUCCAUACUCUUCUCAUCAAUGGCUUAGUGUAGAUGGCUCCAGGAGUCUCCAGAAGCUUCAUGCCUUCUAUAUAACCCCUAUGGGAAGGGUCAUUUGAAGCAUUUUGUGACAUUAAGUUCCUAAUUGAAUGAGGGUUCCACUAUUUCAAGACUUUCAACACAAGCCUCCAAGCAUUACAAUUGGAUUAUGGUUCCAAUCAACCUUCUUGGAUUUAUGACUCCAAGUACUUUCUUGUAUUAUGGUUCUAAGCACCCAUAACAAUCCUUAAGAGAUACCUUACUUUUAAUAAUCUCUCAAGUGAUACUCCACACUUGAGAUACCUCACACUUAGAUUUUUUUUCUUCUCAAAGGUUUACAAGAAAUGAUAGGAAAUAUUUUCACAAAAUACUGAUAUAAAAUUUAGGUGUAAAUGAUACAAAAUAAACAAAGAUUAGGUGUAUUCAUGGAUAUGCAAGUUUAAAAACAAAGUGUACUCAAUUUAUAAAUCUUACUCACCAAAUCAAAGAAAGAUGGAGCCUUUAAAUAGAGUUUGGAAGCCCAAACUAGCUGUUAGACAAGUUUAGGGGUUGGCUAGUCGAGUAACCGACUUGAUCGAUUCACUAACUAUUAGCAUUUAAUAUUCUAGAAAAUGAUAAUUGGAGUUUAAGCCCUUAAUUGGUUGGGCAACCGGUUCAACUAAACUAGUUUGGCCUCAAUUGGUUGCACCUUAGCUAUUGGAAAUCAAAGGUGCACAAAAUGCCCCUUGAUCAAUUGGGUCCAAUUGGCUCAAUUGUUGCCUUAAACCCUCGAUUGGUUGCACUAGAAUGCUUAAAACUCAUUUUUGAGAUCUAGAACCUCCAAAACCUUUUGUAGAAAUUUAAAAACCUUUUAAAGAUAUUUUAGAAAUCAUUUGGUUCAAGGUUUUGAUUGAAAAUGUGAAAUCAUCCCAUUAUAAAAGAAUUUAAAACAAUUUAUUACUUGGAUGAUUUCAUUUGGUUCAAGGUUUUGAUUGAAAAUGUGAAAUCAUCCCAUUAUAAAAAAAUUUAAAACAAUUUAUUACUUGGAUGAUUUUUGGUGCUUAAGUAAAAGUGAAAUGAAUGAAAAACCUAGCGCACUCAUAACCUUACAAAGAGAUCUUAGACAAUCUUUCUCUUUGAGAUUUUUUUUUCUUAAUUUCCCUUGUAUAUAAUAUAUCUGUAGACCCUCAAUUUUGUCCCUCGACACUGGCAUUUAUCCUUCAAGUGUCACAUCCACCCAUCGUUCGCAUAUGGCACCACUAGGGCCCCUUUUGGGCUUAGUCGGUGUCCGAGACUCGUGUGGGUUUGUCUGUGGUCCAUUGUGGUGCAUAUGUGGUUCAUUUUGGAGGGUCACCACGGCCAUUUUCCUAGUCGUUCACAUCACGCUAUAGGAAGGAAGUGGGGUCAUCCUGAUGUUUUAGCUUAGUUGGAGUUUAUAGGGGCAUGUUGAGGUUCGAAGCACUCGGGCUUGUUUUGAUCGUAUCUCCCUCAUCCAAACUCGGAAUCAAGAACCGUUUCUUUUUAUGGAUUCCUUAUUCUUCCAGGAACAUUCUGUAAAAUUUUCAAAAUUUUUUGCAACCGUUCGGCUGGUUGGCAACCGGUUCAGCCGGUUCGGCCGGUUCAUCAAGUCAGCCGGUGUAGAACACUGAUUUUUGGUAAUUGUUUUGAUCAUAUCUCCCUCUUCCGAACUUGGAAUCAAGCACCAUUUUUUUUAAUGGAUUCCUCACUCUACUAGGAACAUUCUGUCAAAUUUUCAUAUUUUUUUUCCAUCGGGUCGACCAGUUGGCAUCCGGUUCGGCCGGUUCAGCCGGUUCAUUGAGUCAGCUGAGGUAAAACACUAAUUCUAGUAAUUUUGAGGCCCAAAUCCUACAUGGCCUAGGCCCGUAAGCUCCAGAUCGGUUUUGGGCAAUGUUGUGGGUCCAUUUUGGGCCUUGGUUUGGGUUCCUUGCAGCCCACCACGAAUCCAUAUGGAUUCUUGGUGGUGAAGCAAGCUGAAAACUGAAGGAGUGAGCUGGCCUUGUAAGUUUAAGAGAAGUAAUGAGGGGUGUGGUUCCCAUGCUGAUGAAGGGGAUUUUGGUGCUGAAGGGGAUGAAGGGGAUUUUGGUGCUGAAGGGGAAGGAAUCCAGGAGGCUCAAAUGUUAAGAGGGGAUGAGUAUAAAAGGUGCAAUGAUAGGAGAGCAAAGGAGAUGAGGGGACAUUUUGGAGAGGGGAAAUUUUGCUGGUGAGAAAAACAAAAGGUCAGUAGCAUCUUCUGAGUUGAGAGCGUGGGGGAAAGCUUCAGCACUAUGGUUUUUUAAAGAGGAGAGUGACAGCAUCUCAGUUUUGGAAGUCAUCAUCUGCAUACACAGAUCAUAUUUGGUGGAGAUUCUAAGGUAAGCAUGCUGAAUUUUCUUUACUUACAGUUUAUCUUCCUCGUCUUCAUAUACUUUUUCUCCUUCCUCAUCAUCUUUUCUUCCCUUUGAUAUGAAGAUUGUAUUGCUUGGGUGUGGAUAAUAAAGGUCACACAUGAUUGUUGUUGUUUGCUUCCUUAAUCACUUAGGAACUUUCUGACCGAAUUUGGGAUUUUUUACCAACCGACUGAACCGGUUCAACCGGUUCAGCACCAUAGCUGGCAGCCUCUGUCAGCCAUGAAGAACAUUUGUCUUUCUUUGUCUAGUUCUCACUCAUCCGGGCUCGGAAUUGAGAACCGUUUCUUUUGUUUGCUUCCUUAAUCACUUAGGAACUUUCUGACCGAAUUUGGGAUUUUUUACCAACUGGCUGAACCGGUUUGGAACCAGUUCAACCGGUUUGGAACCGGUUCAACCGGUUCAGCACCAUAGCUGGCAGCCUCUGUCAGCCAUGAGGAACACUUGCCUUUCUUUGUCUGGUUCUCACUCAUCCAGGCUCGGAAUUGAGAACCGUUUCUUUUGUUUGCUUCCUUAAUCACUUAGGAACUUUCUGACCGAAUUUGGGAUUUUUUAACAACCGGCUGAACUGGUUUGGAACCGGUUCAACCGGUUCAGCACCAUAGCUAGCAACCUCUGUCAGCCAUGAGGAACACUUGCCUUUCUUUGUCUGGUUCUCACUCAUCCGGGCUCGGAAUUGAGAACCGUUUCUUUUGUUUGCUUCCUUAAUCACUUAGGAACUUUUUGACUGAAUUUGGGAUUUUUUACCAACUGGCUAAACCGGUUCAGCACCAUAGCUGGCAGCCUCUGUCAGCCAUGAGGAACACUUGCCUUUCUUUGUCUGGUUCUCACUCAUCUGGGCUCGGAAUUGAGAAUCGUUUCUUUUGUUUGCUUCCUUAAUCACUUAGGAACUUUCUGACCGAAUUUGGGAUUUUUUAUCAACCGGAUGAACUGGUUGGGAACCAGUUCAAUAGGUUCAGCACCGUAGCUGGCUGCCUCUGUCAGUCAUGAGGAACACCUGCCUUUCUUUGUCUGGUUCUCACUCAUCCGGGCUCAGGAUUGAGUGUCGUUUCUUUUGUUUGAAUCCUCACUCAUUUAGGAGUUUUCUAGAAAAAUUUGGGAAUUCUUCUCAAUAGGUUGUACCAGUUGAGAACUAGUUCAACCUGUUCUGUUGGAGGACUUUAGGAAGCCCUCGAUUUUGGCAUUUUUCGAGCCCUUAUCCAUGGGGGCUCAAACCCUUUUGCUAUAGGGCACUUGUGAGCCAUCUUGAAGGUUUAAGUCAGUGUUUGAUUUCAGUUAGUAUGGGCAAUUUUGAAGUUAUGGGUGGUGUGGUCUAGAUGAGUCUAGUUUGAUUUGUAUGACAUUUGGGGAGUCCCUUACCUCAUUUCAACCAACUAUCUUCCUUUUUUGGCACAAGCUUUGAUGCUUGAUUUUGAAUGCAUGUUGCAUGACUGACUCACCCUCUGCUGCAGCGCUUGGCUAGGGACCACAGGUACGCAUCGUUGGCUUUGGUUGUCGAAUUCAUAUGCAUGCAUGGUGCUUAAUCUUGAAUGUUUGUUAUGUGUUUAUCUGUGUUUGGCUGACCUUUUAUGCAGCGCUUGGCUAGGGACCACAGGUACGCACCCAUUGUUUUGUUUGGUUGAAUUCAUAUGCAUGCCAAAUACCAAUUAGGAUUGUGUGAUUCAUGACAUCUAUUUAGCCUAGGGUUUCAUUUGACCUUUGACCCAUAUGCUCCCACAUACCCAAUUCAUUAGUAAAAACCGAGUUUCGGGCCUAGAGGGGUGCUACCUCGCAUGAGGUACCUUCCCAACGGGUAACCUGAUCCCCGGACCCAGAAUCUAGUUUUCGUAGACCACUUUUUCCAUACUGGGGUCAUUAGGGGUUUUUGUUCUUACUUAAUUUUCCCCAUUUUAAAAACAAAAAUAAAAAGUAAGUGGCGACUCCAAGCAACACCGUUCCUCACCGGGGGCGGGUUUUUCAAAACUGGAAAACACCAACUUUUUCAUUUCUUUCUUUUCUUUUAAAAGCGAGUCGCGUCGGUCCGGUGGAUCGGGUGAGGGUCCACAAUAUCUUUAAUUGCUACUUUGAAAAUCUUUUGACCUAAACACACUUAACAUAAAACAUUAAUUCCAAACCUUAUUUUGUUAUCAUCAAAAUUGAAAUUAACCAAACUUUGGUUUCACACCUAUUUUAAUUUCCUCAUUUAUUAUCCACUUUUUUUUAAAAAAAAAAUAUUUUAAGAAUAUUAUAAUAUAUAUAUAGAUAUAUAAACUUAGGUUUAUUCAUACAAAUUGAUAUAAAAAUAUCAUUUAAAAUCAAUAAACUUUUUAUAUUUAGAUAAAUAUCUAAAAAUAAAAUUUAACUUAAAAAAGAAAUGAUGUAAAAAGAUUGUAAAUAAUCAAAAAUAAAAAAAAGCAGGGCCUUGUAAAACUAUUUUUAAUUGAAAUUUUUUUAAGCAUUUAACUUCCCAUAAAAUGAAAAAUUUUUAGAUCUAAAUUUCUUAGUUUUAAAAAUAUUUAACAUAAUAUUAUAUCCAGUUACCAGAAAAUGGCUAGAAGGAAAAAUAAAUAAAAUAGAAAAAGUCUAACUAUUUUUUUUAUGUUUAAAUAAUAUGGACAAAAAUAAGAAAAAAAAGGUAAAAUAUUAAAAUAUUUUCCUCCUUAUUUUUCUAAGAAAAGCUGAAAUAAGUACAGAAAAAAAUUAUAAUUUUCUUUAAUUUUGCGUUUUUUUCUUCAAACUUUCCACAACCAGCCACAUGGUCUAAGUGAAAGCAUAAAUUAUAAAAAUUUUAUCUGUCUACGCAGUUUAAAAGCUUUGCCAAAUUGGGUCUUGGUAGACUUUAAAAAUACAAAAUAAAUUGAUCAGAUGGUUACAUAUAUAUAUAAGUCUUGAUAGCGCCCUGAUAAUGAGGCUACAACUUAGGAAUUACGUGUCCAAUUGCCAUGCUUGGAAAAAUCAAAAUGAUGGCUUUGUUGGAUGAAUCUAGAUGAAGUUUGGCCUACAUAUAAGGAAGAAUAACAUCAUGGUCGCUGGUGGUAGGCAUCAAUUCCGGGACAACCAUGAGCUUGUGCUGGAAAAUUCAGUAGACCCUCCAUUAGUGUAAUCUCUUAAUUGCCUUAACUUCUCUCCAUUUAAAGGCAAAGACUGGACUCAGUGGUAUGGCAUUGGGAUAGACCCAGAGUUCAGCUCAGUCCUAGGGCCCAAUUAAAGUUCUAGAUUGGGUUGAGUCUUAUAUAAAAGUGACAAUCUCUAUUUGUUAAUCUUUGUGUCAACUUAAUUUAUACUAUUAUUACUCAUGUAACCUAAUUCAUAUUUUAAAUCUAAUCUAUAUCACAAUUUAUUCUAAUAUUUUUGGAUGAUGCACAUCAAUUUGAAAAUUUUUGGUGUGUAUCAUAGCUCUUAAUAGCUCAAAUUUAUGUUACAUCCCUAUUCAAGACUUUCUCACAAUUUUCAAGUUUUGUAGUGCUUUUAUUAAAAGUGUGAUGAGCUUAGUGAGCGCAAGUAGGGGUUAUAAGGGUCAUUUUGAGCAUUUUUAGUAACUUCUAUGAAUUUUGGAAGGACAGGGGAGCCCAAAAGCAAGAGUAAAUUAGCAAGCUAAGCAAAACACAAUUAGCAUCUCCACAAGCUCGAUUCCAACUAGUUUUGAGUUUGGAGUUAUUUGAAAGGGUUAUAUGCAUCUUAAUAGAGUGGUAAAUUUUAUCAAGUUCUAGACUCUAAUAGGGAAGAAAAGGGGAGUUAGAGAUUUUAUUUUUAAAACAAAGAAAAUACCAUUGCAAGAUAGUAGCAUAAACUUCAACUUAAAUAUAAAAAACAGAACAAAAAAUAGCUAAUCUAAUAUUUGCUUUUUAAUUACAUCAAUUUACUAACUUUCCUAUAAGUGAGCCAACUUUAUUAUUAUUAGAUCAUCUAGUGAAAUAUCUCUCUUUUAUUUUGAUAACUUAGUUUUAGAUCAAGUUUUGAUAAUCUCAUCUAAAAAUUAAUUGGUAUCUUGAGGUUGGACUAAGUCUUUUAUAACAUUCAACCACCAUCAUCUGGGUGACCCAUCCAUUGAGCUUAAAGAGUGAAGUUGUUACACCCCAACAAUCUCUCCACUAACAUGAUGCUUCCCCGGCUUUAACUCAAGACAUUGACUUUGAUACCAAUUCGUGGAUCAAACUUUGAUCAUCUUAUUUGAAGACCAAUUGAUUUUUAGAUGAGAUGAUUAAAACUUAAUUCAAGACUUAGAAAGGUAUUUAUCAGUUCCUUCCCCUUAAAAAAACCUUGUCCUCAAGGUUGGAAGUAAGGAAAAUGACUAAUAAGCUUAUGCCAAUCUCCCUAGCUAGCAUCUUUUAGGGAAGAAUUAAAAUAAUGAACAAGAAUUGGAUCUUUGAAUUGUUCCCAUGUUUGAUAGCAUGUUGAUCAAGAAUUCUGAUUAGUUCAAACAACAUCUGUCCUUUAUCAUUAAUGGCUGGUAGCUCAAGUUUUGCAGUGUUUUUUCUAGCCAAUGGAUCUUUUUCUUUAAACCAGAUAGUGAAUUUUUGAAUGGGAAAGCAAUUCCAAAUAAUAAGCAACUACUCCUAUAUGGAAAUUCACCCUAAAAGGCCUAUAAAACCUUAGAGACAGCUAAUUGAUGCAUGGAAAGGCCACAUAGGCUUAUUAGUCUGGUUAUAGGUACAAUUACACCAUACCUCUCACAUCAAAAGACCUUUCUAUAUGAUGUUGAUUAGCUUGCUGAUUCAUAUGGCGUUGAGCCUUCUCCAAAUUUUCUUUCAAUAGUAGUAAGAUGGCAUGCAUUUCGAUCCGUAAGCGCUUGGCCUAUUGAUACUGCCUUGGUGUCACCUCGUGCAUACAUGGGCAGAGAUGACGAACUCUGACCAUAAUCCAUUUUAUGUAGAAUGAGCCUGAUGGCAGUGUGGAAGGAAGUAUUGAACCACCAUUCAACAAAUGGUAACUAAGGAGACCACUUUUUAGGAUGAUUGCCCAUGACACAAUAAAGAGAAUUUUUCAAACAAUGAUAAAGGCUCUUUUUAGGAAUUGUUUUUUAAAACACUUUUUGGUUCUUCAGAAAAAAAAAAAAAAAAAUUGAAAACAAUAUUUGACAACUGGAAAAUAGAAUUUUUUUUUUGGGACUAUUUUAACUUGUUUUAAAAAAUAAUUAUAUAAUAAAUACAUAAAAUUUAUUUUUAAAACAUAUUUAAAAAAAAUAGAAAACAUAUAUGUUAAGAAUAUUUCAUAUUCCAAAUUGACUUUUGUUAUACAACUUAAUGAAUUAAUAUGAUUUAAUGAUUUAAUUUAAGCCAUUGAGUAAAUUAAAUAUCUUUGGUAAAAUAAUUUAAUAUUACAAUUUAAAAUUACUUUUAACAUUAAAUAUUAAAUCAAAAAAAUUAACUCAUUUUUAAUUUUAAAUCUUUUUUGUUUUAUUUAACCCUAAAGUAUAUUUUAACAUUAUGAUUUUACAUCUAUGAUUCUUUUUUAAAAUAAAUAUUUUAUGGUUAUCAUACCCAUCUACAAUAUUUUAAAUAUGAAUAUUGUCUAAAUAAAAAUUACUUAAAAUUAUUGAAAAUAAAUAUGAGUUGAAAUCAAGGAAGAUAAAUAUUCAUUAAAAUUAAUAAGGGUAAAUAUGUUAAUUUGAUAAUUUAAAAUAAACUUUAAGUUAACUUUAUCAAAUACCUUAAGUAAAAUAAGUAAUAAAUUUUAAGUCAAUCACUUAAAAAUAAUUUAAUUUAAAGUUAACUUAAGUAAUUAAGUAAUAAAUAUCAAAUUUUAUCAAACACUUGAAACUCUAUAUCUUAUGAAAAAUUGUUUUUUUAGAACUACUUUUAAAAACGCUUUCUAAACAAAGCAUAAUCCUUAGUUUUUCCAUGAGAUUGUAGAUGAUAUGAUGAACUCAUAUAAAGUUGAGUGCUGCUCAAAGAGAGCUUGCCAGAAUAUGCUAGUAUAUAUGGGAUCUCUGUUGCUAACAAUGGUAGUGGGCAUGUCCAACAAGUGAACAACAUGUUGGAUAAAAAUCUUAGUAACUUCCUUGGCUGAAUAUCGAUGUCUUAAAGCAAUAAAGUAAUGGUAUUUUCUUAAUAUAUCCUUCAUGAGGAAAAUGGCAUCUUUCCCAUGUGAGCGAGGAAGUCAUCCAUUGAUAAAAUUCAUGGUUGUCAUGUAAUAUUGCAGCCUAGAGAGAAAAAUGUACAACUCAAGACCAGGGAACCCUUGUACUGUAGUUGAUUUUGCAAUAUCGCCAAGAAUACCCCCAUUUGGCAUUUGGCAUUUGGGUCAACAAUAUUAAGUCUUUGUAUUAGUUAUUGUAGUUAAGGGUCUUGCUGCUAUUUUUCCUUGGAAGUAUAUCAAGCCAAUUAAUAGUAGACAAGGAUAGGGUCAUGACUUUCAAUAUUGAACAUACUCUAUAACGGACAAAGCCAGAGAGAAAUAAGAGAAUUGUAUGAGGGUUUAAAUGUUUAUUAAAGAUAUUUGGUGGUAGAAAUUAUCCUUUUAUUCUCACAAUCACUUGAAGUUGGAGCAUGUGACACGGCAUGGAUCGAUGUGUUAGGCAUGGCCCCCACGUGCCUUCGAUGGGAGAUAUCCCUUCCAUACCUUCUCAGGUUAUAAAUGAGGAAAAAUGUCUCUUCCCAUAUGCUUUUCUGUAUCUCAAAUAUAUCAAUUCUAGAAGGAUUGAAACUCAACCAAGCCUUUCAAAUAGGUGAUCAUCCAAUGAACCAGAUUUAAGGCCAUUAGUCCACCCAGUACUUGUUCCUGCAAUGAUAUCCCACAAUGAUGUCUUCAAAGUUGGCCAUAUCCCACUACUUGAUCUAGACUCUCAGAUUUAUUGUGCUGUGAUAUUAGAUCAUAGGGGAGCUAGCUAAUCAAAUUUGAAUCCUUUUCCAUAUCCUAAUUUUUUUGUCAAUUCCUUUGUAUUGACUUUUAAUUAAUAGGGUUAAUUUAUAGUCCCGAUUUCCUUGAACAAUGAAUGUUAAUGAAAAUUAUUACCUACAUAUACAACAAAUAAUCAUAUUUCUUAUAAUACUACUAUGUCCCUUUUUUCAUAAGAUCAGCAGGAUAACCCUGGAAAUUAAGACAAAGAAAACAAGGAGCCGACAUGCUUUGAAGUACUACUAUGAAUUUAUUAUACUUGGAAAUUAAGCAUCUCUCUUGAGUAUUUUUGAGUACAGAAGGAGAAUAAAACAAGAUCUUACUGAAAAACUACCUCAAUUAUAUCUUCCUUGGUCAGCUAAAAGCACAAAGUUGAUCUUAUUUGCACUGACCCAUGGUAUAUAUGCUGAUCAGCUUAUUACAUAUAUGUAGUACUUGCUUAGAGGUCGUUUCAUAAUGUUUAAUAAGGCCGUUGUCCCACAUAGUUGCCCGGUGGAUCGUAGUUGCAUGUGACGAACCACCACCCAUUGUUGCACUGAACCCUGGCGCACCCAAGGCGAACUGAGUUGCUCCAAACAACCUGAGUAUAGUGCAGGCACUCCCCACCAACGCAUGAGUUGGAGUUGUAGUCAUAAUUAGGCUUCUCCCCCACCCACAA